AUCACGCCCCCUCUGAGAGGAUACAACUGGAAUAGAAAUGUCUCAGACCUUGCAGAGGGAGAUUCUGGGCCAUGGACAUUGCUGGUCGGAUACUUUCAAACUCGGAGAAGGCCGGGUUAGUGUAGAGUUUGAUAGAGAAGAGAGGAAGUUUUAAAAAUUAAUUCAACAGCAAUAUUUUUAAAUUCACUGUGUGAUCUGAGAACAUUCAGUGUGACAGAAUAAGGAAGUUGGCAGGGGAUACUGGCAGGAAACUCACGCAUGGAACAAAGAAUCAGCAGAUAAAAAUACCAUCGAGCAGAGGAGAGUUCGUAAGGGACAGCGCAGAAAGGGGCCGGGGAGAGAGAGUGCAGCAACGGCUCUGGGGUUACCUCAGCCAAUGAGCUGCAAGAACUAAGAGCACCGGCUGUUUUAGCAGCAGAUCUGACACCUCCUCAAUUAGGGCCCCUGACAGCGCUGCCAGGGAAAGGUUCUUGAAGGAACAUGAGAACCCAACUGGAAAGGCUCUCUCUGCUUUGGGCGCUUCUCCUGUCUCCGUGGCUGGGAGCCGCAGAAAAUACUGCUGCUGUCUUUGUGGUGAAUCAGACACCCCCUUCUAUCCGUGCAAUGGAAGGGUCAGAGUUCACCAUCGAGUGUACAUUCAACACAAGCAAUAAUUCAACCAAGUGGUUUGCUGCAUGGUAUAAAACCAGAAACAAUGUAACAGAAAAGUUAUCCAAUGGAACAGA
Non-coding RNA from Chrysemys picta bellii (western painted turtle), 725 nucleotides. Lineage: Eukaryota; Metazoa; Chordata; Testudines; Emydidae. The record is from RefSeq and is a predicted model, not a curated record.